This 2584-nucleotide ribosomal RNA is filed under the name activated sludge metagenome. RNAcentral describes it as "bacterial LSU rRNA". It matches the Rfam family "Bacterial large subunit ribosomal RNA", at positions 14 to 2582 of the family's 2925-position model. The record is from RNAcentral.
AGAGCCAAAAAUGAAUGCCUUGGGUGAAAAAGCUGAAGAAGGACGCGAUUGGCUGCGAUAAGCCUCGGUAAGGUGCCAGUAACCGUUAUAGCCGGGGAUCUCCGAAUGGGGGAACCUAUUCUGUAUUACAGAAUGUCCGAAAUGGAUAGCAAGCAUGGGAAGUGAAAUAUCUCAGUACCAUGAAGAAAAUAAAUCGUAAGAGAUUCCCUUAGUAGUGACGAUCGAACGGGGAAGAGUCCAAACUAUAUGAGUGUCAAGGUCCUGACCGUUGCUCAUAUGGGGUUGAGGGGCAAUAGCGAAGCAGUUAGGGAUGCUUCCUAGAGUUACAAAAUUACAUCAUAACAGAACAGUGUGAAAAAGCUGACCAUAGAGGGUUAUAGUCCCUUAAGUGAAAUGGUGUAGUCUCUAGUUAUUGUACCCAAGUAAUGUCAAACACGUGAAAUUUGGCAUGAAUCUGGGCAGACCACUGUCUAAGACUAAAUACUUUUUCACACCGAUAGCGAAUAGUACCGCGAGGGAAAGGUGAAAAGAACCCUGGAAAGGGAGUGAAAUAGAUUCUGAAAUUUUUGGCUCACAAGGGAGUGGGAGCUUCUUUAUGGAGUGACCGCGUACCUAUUGACGAAUGGGUCAGCGAGUUAUUGGUAGUAGCAAGGUUAAGGUACUCUGUACUGGAGCCGUAGGGAAACCGAGUCUGAAUAGGGCGAUAAGUUGCUAUCAAUAGACCCGAAACGAUAUGAGCUACGCAUGGGCAGGAUGAGCCUCGAUGAAAGUCGGGGGGAGGUCCGAACGGUUUGGAGCUGCAAGUCCUUCCGAUGACCUGUGCGUAGGAGUGAAAAGCUCAUCGAAUAUCGUGAUAGCUGGUUCUCCUCGAAACAACUUUAGGGUUGGCCUGUAAUUAUGAUCUUAGAGAGGUAGAGCUCUUAUAGGGCUAGGGGUGUCGAGAGACAUUACCAAACCCUGUUAAACUUCGAAUGCUCUAAGGAAAAUUAUGGAGUUAGACUGCGAGAUUGAAGUUCCGUAGUCAAAAGGGUAACAGCCCAGAUUUCUGAAUAAGGUCCCCAAGAGAUAGCUAAGUGUAAAAAGAUGUGUUUCUGCAUUGACAUCCAGGAGGUUUGCUUAGAAGCAGCAAUCCUUUAAAGAAAGCGUAACAGCUCACUGGACUAGCGGAGAUGCGCUGAAGAUGUAACGGGGCUUAAGCUAUCCACCGAAUUCGAAGAUCUCUUGUGUAAACAAGAGGUGGUAGAGGAGUGUUCUUUUAGGGGUGAAGCUAGUGUGUGAACACUGGUGGACUAAAAAGAAGUAAAAAUGCUGACAUAAGUAACGACUAUUGGCGAAAAUCCAGUAUACCUAAAGCCUAAGGAUUCCUACGCAAUGUUCAUCAACGUAGGGUUAGUCGAGACCUAAGAUGAAGCCGAAAGGCGCAGUCGAUGGAUGACUGGUUAAUAUUCCAGUACUUGAUAAAAGAGUGAAGUGGUAACACAUUGGGAUUUGUGCGAGCUCAUUAAGGAUUUGAGUUUAAGACAUAAAGCGAUUUCGAUUUAUCGAAAGUGUGCUGUAGGAAAAUCCGCAGUAUAUUCAAGUUGAGUGUCGAAUAAGAGGUUCAGCAAUGGAUCGAUUCGCAUCGUUCUGGUGUCAAGAAAACCCACUAGCGUUAAUUUUUUAUCAACUCGUACCGAGAUCAGACACAUGUAGGCACGUUGAGAAUACGAAGGUAAUCGAGACAAUUAAUGAAUAAGGAACUUGGCAAAUUAACGGACGUAACUUCGGGAUAAGUCCUGCCCUGUAGAAAUACAGGGUCGCAGCGAAAGAAAUGGGGGGGACUGUUUAUCAAAAACACAGCUCUCUGCUAACACGUAAGUGGAUGUAUAGAGGGUGAUGCCUGUCCAAUGCCAGAAUGUUAAGCUCGCUUGUGCAAGCUCGUGAGUUAAGCACUGGUCAAUGACGGCCGUAACUAUGACGGUCCUAAGGUAGCGAAAUUCCUUGUCGGGUAAGUUCCGACCCGCAUGAAAGGCAUAACCAUCUCCAUACUGUCUUAUUCUUAAUCUCGGUGAAAUUACACUUCCGGUAAAAAUGCCGGAUAGUUACAGUUAGACGGAAAGACCCUGUGAAGCUUUACUGUAAGUUGGUAUUGUAAUGUGGCCUAUGAUACUCAGCAUAAGUGGGAGACUUUGAAGUCACGACUUUGGUCGUGUGGAGUCGUCAGUGAGAUACCAUUUAUUGUAUGUAGCAUUACUAACCCCGCAUAGCGGGGGACAUUGCCAGCCUGACAGUUUACCUGGGGCGGGUGCCUCCUAAAAAGUAACGGAGGCGUACAAAGGUUUGCUUGGUACGGAUGGAAACCGUACUGGACGUAUAUUCGCAAAAGCAAGCUUAACUGUGAGGUUUACAGACCGAACAGAUAGGAAACUAGGUGAAAGUGAUCCGGAUUUUCCAUGUGGAAGGGAAUCCGCUCAACGGAUAAAAGCUACUCCGGGGAUAACAGGCUAAUGGUUUCCAAGAGUUCAUAUCGACGAAACCGUUUGGCACCUCGAUGUCGACUCAUCACAUCCUGGGGCUGUAGAAGGUCCCAAGGGUUGGGCUGUUC